CCUACGGGUGACAGCAGUCGAGAAUCAUUCACAAUGGGGGAAACCCUGAUGGUGCGACGCCGCGUGGGGGAAUGAAGGUCUUCGGAUUGUAAACCCCUGUCAUGUGGGAGCAAAUUAAAAAGAUAGUACCACAAGAGGAAGAGACGGCUAACUCUGUGCCAGCAGCCGCGGUAAUACAGAGGUCUCAAGCGUUGUUCGGAAUCACUGGGCGUAAGGGGUGCGUAGGCGGUUUCGUAAGUCGUGCGGGAAAGGCGCGGGCUCAACCGGCGGACGGCACAUGAUACUGCGAGACUAGAGUAAUGGAGGGGGAACCGGAAUUCGCGGUGUAGCAGUGAAAUGCGUAGAUAUCGAGAGGAACACUCGUGGCGAAGGCGGGUUCCUGGACAUUAACUGACGCUGAGGCACGAAGGCCAGGGGAGCGAAAGGGAUUAGAUACCCUUGUAGUC
This 446-nucleotide ribosomal RNA is filed under the name uncultured bacterium. RNAcentral's name for it is "partial 16S ribosomal RNA". It matches the Rfam family "Bacterial small subunit ribosomal RNA", at positions 338 to 795 of the family's 1533-position model. The record is from RNAcentral.